This 400-nucleotide ribosomal RNA is filed under the name uncultured bacterium. Its description in RNAcentral is "bacterial SSU rRNA". It matches the Rfam family "Bacterial small subunit ribosomal RNA", at positions 355 to 772 of the family's 1533-position model. The record is from RNAcentral.
UGGGGAAUAUUGCACAAUGGGGGAAACCCUGAUGCAGCAACGCCGCGUGAGUGAUGACGGCCUUCGGGUUGUAAAGCUCUGUCUUUGGGGACGAUAAUGACGGUACCCAAGGAGGAAGCCACGGCUAACUACGUGCCAGCAGCCGCGGUAAUACGUAGGUGGCAAGCGUUGUCCGGAUUUACUGGGCGUAAAGGGAGCGUAGGCGGAUUUUUAAGUGGGAUGUGAAAUACCCGGGCUCAACCUGGGUGCUGCAUUCCAAACUGGAAAUCUAGAGUGCAGGAGGGGAAAGUGGAAUUCCUAGUGUAGCGGUGAAAUGCGUAGAGAUUAGGAAGAACACCAGUGGCGAAGGCGACUUUCUGGACUGUAACUGACGCUGAGGCUCGAAAGCGUGGGGAGCAAA